Schistocerca nitens (vagrant locust) is the source of this 1039-nucleotide long non-coding RNA. RefSeq lists it as uncharacterized. The record is from RefSeq and is a predicted model, not a curated record. The transcript has 3 exons. NCBI's taxonomy places the organism in Eukaryota, Metazoa, Arthropoda, Insecta, Orthoptera, Acrididae.
AGCAGCAAUUAAAUGGCUCGUUGGAAACUUCGUCGCAAUAACUCACGCACGAUCUGUUUUGAGAAAUCAGUGUCUGGUUUAGUUUCUGAUACCGAUGAAUGUUGAUCACCGGCAUCUCGGCAGAUGCACCAGAUCCUCUAUCUCCACUGAAUACAGACACAAAUGAGGAUGAAAUAGGUAAACUCGAAUUAGACUCAGGAGACUGCAGUACAUUUGAAGAAAUUCCUACACCAGGAUUAUCUUCCUCGUUCAUUAGCGCUCCAUCAACAUCAGAAGGUGUUUCUACCUGCAAGUCUAUAAAGAAACCAAUGAAAGAAGAUCCAUUAUGGGCAAUGAUUAUUAAGCUACAUCAGAUGGAAAGAGAUGAUGCUACUGAGGUAACACAACUGGUAAUGUGUAUACUGAGAUGGAUCAAGUGAAGAGAACCGGCACAGAGAAAUUUGCAGAUGUCUUGUUUGAUGUCCAGCUUAAGAAUCUCAUUAGAUACACUACACUAACAGCACUGGAAGUCCAAGUAAUUUUCGACAGUCUAUGCCCAACAUGCAACGAUCUCAAAGGUCUACUCAAUUUCGAGAUUUUCCAAUGCAUCUUUUAUCUUGCGGAGUAUAUCGCCAAAAAUGUAGUGGUGAAAUGAAAUGAAGUGAUCGUAUGGCACUGUUGGCUGGGAGGCCCCAUGUGGGGAAGUUCGGCCGCCAUAUUGCAAGUCCUUUUUAGUUGACGCCACUUCGGCGACUUGCGAGUCAAUGAUGAUGAAGAACACACAACACCCAGUCAUCAUGAGGCAGAGAAAAUCCCCAACACCACUGGGAAUCGAACCCGGGACCCCGUACACGGGAAGUGAAAACGCUACCGCAAGAACAUGAGCAGCGGACUUAAUCUUGAUUUAUCCAUUCGUAGCAGAUGGGAUAUCCAUUUUUUUUUUUUUUUUGGCAUUCGCUAACCUUACUGUUUAUAUCUAAAAUAUUUAAUUCCUUCCUGGUAUCUAUAUUUCUUUUGUUGUCUAGCUUGGUGUAUCCUGCUAUGUACCUGAGGAAUUUAA